This 282-nucleotide small RNA is filed under the name Arabidopsis thaliana (thale cress). RNAcentral describes it as "ATSL280970". Lineage: Eukaryota; Viridiplantae; Streptophyta; Magnoliopsida; Brassicales; Brassicaceae. The record is from RNAcentral.
AUGUUAUAAUACAAUAUGAGUUCAUAUAUCUUCUUAUUAUAUAAAAUAUGGUUUUUAAAAUACUAACUCGUGUGAUUGUGACACGCGUCAAGUCUAUCGUUCAGAUGUUGACAUGUGUCAACAAAUAUUUACUUUUCUCUUAAAUAAAUAGGAAAACUAAAAAAAAAAGAAACAUAGAUAUCUAAAAUAUUUAACUUUAAUUUUUUAACUAAAAACGAAAACUAAAAAUAAGAUGAAAUGUAUAGAAUAAAACUAUAUUUGUAUUAGAAAAUCAACUUGUAU